GUCACAGCGUCGUAGCGGGUCGGUGCCCGGAAGGAGCCCUCAGGAGGUCUAAUCCCACGCGCUGUGCCUAAAACCCUGUGAUCUUGAGCACGCCCUUGAACGUCUCUGGAUCUCCGUUUUCUGAGAAGCCAGACACCUCCAGCCUUAUUCCAACUCCACUGCUUCCCAGAGAGGUGAACUCUCUCUGCCUCAGCUUCCUCAGUCGGAAAAUGGGAAUGAAAAUAGUACCUCCCUCAUGGGGUGGCUGUGUCAGCCAUUCUUCACUGGUCAUGCAGAAAAAGCCAAAUGGCAGUACAUGUGUGCGGUGUUUGGACACCAGAGGAGUUACCUAUAUUCUCUCUCUUUGGGAUUACAGAGAAUUCUGUGCCCCAGGGCCUGUGAAGACGCAGUCUGGCAGCCCAAAACCUGACCUCCUCUGGUAGUCCCUCCUGCCAACUCUCCCUGGGAAAAUGUCCCACACAGUGUCAGUGCUUUUCUGGAGCCAGAGAGAG
Long non-coding RNA from Lemur catta (Ring-tailed lemur), 491 nucleotides. RefSeq lists it as uncharacterized. Lineage: Eukaryota; Metazoa; Chordata; Mammalia; Primates; Lemuridae. The record is from RefSeq and is a predicted model, not a curated record. The transcript has 3 exons.